AAACUGAAGAGUUUGAUCCUGGCUCAGAUUGAACGCUGGUGGUAUGCUUAACACAUGCAAGUCGGACGGUAACAUAGGAGCUUGCUCCUGAUGACGAGUGGCGGACGGGCGAGUAACGCGUAGGAAUCUGCCUAUAAGUGGGGGACAACCAUUGGAAACGAUGGCUAAUACCGCAUGUUGUCUUUGGACAAAAAGUGGCUUUCGGGCUGCUGCUUAUAGAUGAGCCUGCGUUAGAUUAGCUUGAUGGUAGGGUAAAGGCCUACCAUGGCGACGAUCUAUAGCUGUUCUGAGAGGAAGAUCAGCCGCACUGGGACUGAGACACGGCCCAGACUCCUACGGGAGGCAGCAGUGGGGAAUAUUGGACAAUGGGCGCAAGCCUGAUCCAGCAAUACCACGUGUGUGAAGAAGGCCUUAGGGUUGUAAAGCACUUUCAGUGAGGAGGAAGAUUGCUAGGUUAAGAGCUAGGUAGUUUGACGUUACUCACAGAAGAAGCACCGGCUAACUCCGUGCCAGCAGCCGCGGUAAUACGGAGGGUGCGAGCGUUAAUCGGAAUUACUGGGCGUAAAGGGUUCGUAGGCGGUUAAAUAAGUCAGAUGUGAAAGCCCUGGGCUCAACCUAGGAACUGCAUUUGAAACUAUUUGACUAGAAUAUAGUAGAGGAGAGGGGAAUUUCCGGUGUAGCGGUGAAAUGCGUAGAGAUCGGAAGGAACAUCAGUGGCGAAGGCGACUCUCUGGACUAAUAUUGACGCUGAGGGACGAAAGCGUGGGUAGCAAACAGGAUUAGAUACCCUGGUAGUCCACGCUGUAAACGAUGAGUACUAGCUGUUGGUCCUGGUGUAAAAGGAUAAGUGGCAAAGCUAACGCAUUAAGUACUCCGCCUGGGGAUUACGGCCGCAAGGCUAAAACUCAAAGGAAUUGACGGGGACCCGCACAAGCGGUGGAGCAUGUGGUUUAAUUCGAUGCAACGCGAAGAACCUUACCUACCCUUGACAUACUGAGAACUUUCCAGAGAUGGAUUGGUGCCUUCGGGAACUCAGAUACAGGUGCUGCAUGGCUGUCGUCAGCUCGUGUCGUGAGAUGUUGGGUUAAGUCCCGCAACGAGCGCAACCCUUACUUCCAGUUGCUAACAUUAAGUUGAGGACUCUGGAGGGACUGCCGCUGAUAAGGCGGAGGAAGGUGGGGACGACGUCAAGUCAUCAUGGCCCUUACGGGUAGGGCUACACACGUGCUACAAUGGUUGUUACAGAGGGAUGCAAAGCAGUGAUGUGGAGCGAAACCCAGAAAGGCAAUCGUAGUCCGGAUUGGAGUCUGCAACUCGACUCCAUGAAGUUGGAAUCGCUAGUAAUCGCGAAUCAGAAUGUCGCGGUGAAUACGUUCCCGGGUCUUGUACACACCGCCCGUCACACCAUGGGAGUGGGUUGCAAAAGAAGUGGGUAGACUAACCUUCGGGAGGUCGCUCACCACUUUGUGAUUCAUGACUGGGGUGAAGUCGUAACAAGGUAGCCGUAGGGGAACCUGCGGCUGGAUCACCUCCUUA
RNAcentral lists this ribosomal RNA (1536 nucleotides) under Francisellaceae bacterium. RNAcentral describes it as "bacterial SSU rRNA". It matches the Rfam family "Bacterial small subunit ribosomal RNA". The record is from RNAcentral. Lineage: Bacteria; Pseudomonadati; Pseudomonadota; Gammaproteobacteria; Thiotrichales; Francisellaceae.